RNAcentral lists this ribosomal RNA (110 nucleotides) under Otolemur garnettii (small-eared galago). The record is from RNAcentral. Lineage: Eukaryota; Metazoa; Chordata; Mammalia; Primates; Galagidae.
CAUCUAUGUUAUACCACCUCGAACAUCCCUAGUCUAGUCCAAUUUUGGAAACUAAGUAGGGUUGGGCCAGGUUAGUAAUUGGAUGGUAGUAAUCCAGGCUAGAAAUGUGA